This 254-nucleotide ribosomal RNA is filed under the name uncultured bacterium. RNAcentral's name for it is "partial 16S ribosomal RNA". It matches the Rfam family "Bacterial small subunit ribosomal RNA", at positions 524 to 776 of the family's 1533-position model. The record is from RNAcentral.
UACGGGGGGAGCAAGCGUUGUUCGGAUUUACUGGGCGUAAAGGGCGCGUAGGCGGUCGUGACAAGUCACUUGUGAAAUCUCCGGGCUUAACUCGGAACGGUCAAGUGAUACUGUCGGACUAGAGUACAGAAGGGGCAACUGGAAUUCCAGGUGUAGCGGUGAAAUGCGUAGAUAUCUGGAGGAACACCGGUGGCGAAGGCGGCGUUCUGGACUGCAACUGACACUGAGGAACGAAAGCCAGGGGAGCAAACGGG